GCUCCCCCUCUCUCCCCCUCACCCUCUCACUCCUCUCUCUCUCUCCCUCUCCCUCUCUCUUUUAAAAAAUCAGCCAUUUGGGGUUUUAAGCCAUAAACGAUUUUUCUUGUUGCAGGGGAUUGCAGUGGCAAAGCUAGGCUAGGUCUUGGAGGCUGGUGUGAGGCGAAGCGGGCGAAGGCAGGAGGCUGAUGGAGAGACUGGGGGGAAGAAAAACCGAAAUGGAUUCACCGUGCCUUGGAUGGAGGAUGAGAAAGGAACUGCAAGCUCCUUCAACUGCUCUGUCCGGUGAGAAGUGAUCUAGCUUGGGCUGACAAGAGGCUGAGGGAGCCCUCACGUCCUUUCGCUUUUUUACCUGCCAAUCAAACUGCUACAAGACAACACCCUGAUCUGCCAUGGACAUCGCGGGUCCAAGCCUGUAGCCCCAAAUCGGAUAAGCUCUGCAGCUGAUAACAAGCAAAAGAGAGAAGCCAGGCAACAGACAUAAUAAAGAAGAAAACAACUCUGAGGAUGCCACUCUGAAUGUUUUAUUUUCUCCAGGGAAGUAGAGUUCGCUUUGAGAGCUCUAGCCUGUGAACUCCGUAUGUAAAUGUGGUCAUCAAGCAAGACUGAACUACCAAGAGGGAAGAUUUUCAAUGUUUCGCUUUCUUAAAACCCUUCACAGCAUCCUUCCUCCAGUGGAACUUUACUCAAAGUUUCCCCCUUCCCAGAACUGUUGAAAAUGGCUCCAAAGCAACAGUGCAAUAGCUCAACCAAUUGUACUAUGAAGCUGUUGAGAUGACAUUUUAUCAGAAUCUUUUGUAAAAAUUAGAUUUUAAGUAGGGGUGAGAGUCCUUUGGGAAGAGGGGACAAGAGAGAGUAGAAGUGGGAGGGGGAACCAAGCUGUUCAUAUAAGUAUAUAUACUCUUUGUGUGUGAAGGCCUCUGUGUCUUGGCUUCUCACUAUGUUAAAUCCCUAUUAUAAAACUUAUCUUCACAAAGCCUAUUAUAGUAUUCUGGGAACAAAUUGGACCAUGAAUAACUGAGUUGGAAGUGUAGAUUAUUUUCUACUCAGGGAAAGUUAGAGAUGACAACAGCUUAACUAAAAGAAUAGUGAUUAAUCUUAAAUAGAUGGAUUUCAAAGUUUCACUCUUGGUAAAGAAUACCUUUGAUAUUUCCCCUCUUCACACUCAAGUUUCCAGUUUCUUUGUGCUAAGAAUUGUCCUAGUGAUUACACCGUCCACCUCAUACAGCACGGCUCUGGCAGUAGAUCGUUUCCUCUCACACUGUUAAUCUGUCGGAGAGGUGGCCAGAAUGACACUCUGCUUCCUAGAGGUUAAAUAUAUGGUUCCAAAGUGAAACCUGUGCUUAGAUGUCAGACUCACGCUUAGGAAUGACAUCUUACACAAUCAUAAUUCUCAAUUAGAUAAAAUUGUUAUUUUUUUUAAUCUUAAAUUUUUUUACUGCCCUAUAGCUUAUAAAGCACUUCUCAGCUCAUAAUUUUGUUGGAUCCAUAGAAUAAUGUUGCAAAGUAAAUAUCCAUCCCAUUUUACCAAUGGAAAAGCUGAGUUAUUUGCAUAUUGUGACCUGGCUGAUAAAAUAAAGAACUGAAACACCAACUCAGAUUUUAUAAAGCUUCUAUUUCAAGUGUUUAACCUAUAACAAGAGUCUUUAAAAUUAUUUUUUUGUGUAUUACAUCCCUGAAAAUGAAGAUUUUGUAUUAAAAAGCAAAAGUCUUUAUAUUUCACAGACAAAAAUGUUAAAAGACACAACUGAAAAAAAUUCUAUUACUUUAAAAGUGAAUUUUGCCAACUAUUGUUUUCCUUUGUGUGUAUGUAUGUAUAUAUAUUCUUUUAUAGUUGAAGAUCUUAAUUUCUAAAAGUCAAAUAUGGCCAGCCCUAUAUACAUUAACUAACCACCUGGAACUUUUUUUUAAAAUAUAUUUUAUUGAUUUUUUUACAGAGAGGAAAGGAGAGAGAUAGAGAGUUAGAAACAUCGAUGAGAG
Molecule: long non-coding RNA, 1980 nt
Organism: Myotis myotis
Lineage: Eukaryota; Metazoa; Chordata; Mammalia; Chiroptera; Vespertilionidae
Exons: 3
Source: RefSeq, a predicted model, not a curated record